This 417-nucleotide ribosomal RNA is filed under the name Triticum aestivum (bread wheat). RNAcentral describes it as "partial small subunit ribosomal RNA". The record is from RNAcentral. Lineage: Eukaryota; Viridiplantae; Streptophyta; Magnoliopsida; Poales; Poaceae.
CCGCCGCGUGUCCGGUUCUUCCAUUGGCUAGCGCACCUGGAUCGCUGCUGGAUAACGGACCGCCUCGCCCGACGCGGCCUACCACACCCCGUGCGCUGCCCACUCUGCGACCAGGCGCCCAAGACAAUGAACCACCUCCUCCUCGCCUGCCCCUUCGCCCGGCAGACCUGGCACGAGACGCUCAGCUGGCUUCGGGCCCCAUGCCCCCUGCCUGCCCACGAGCCCUGUCUCAACGAAUGGUGGCAAUCCACGAGGCCGCUCGCGCCCAAGGCCAUGCGCAAAGGCCUCGCCUCUGCAGUCCUGCUCGUUCCUUGGAUGCUAUGGAAGCACCGCAAUGACUGCGUUUUCAACCAUGGCCGCCCUUCGGUUACUGAGCUGCUCAUGAAGAUCAAGGAGGAUUACCAUCCAGAGUUGUAA